Molecule: ribosomal RNA, 571 nt
Filed under: uncultured bacterium
Lineage: Bacteria
Description: bacterial SSU rRNA
Rfam family: Bacterial small subunit ribosomal RNA
Source: RNAcentral
GUCGAGAAUCAUUCGCAAUGGGCGAAAGCCUGACGAUGCGACGCCGUGUGAACGAAGAAGGCCUUCGGGUUGUAAAGUUCUUUCGCCUGGGAACAAGAGAGGAAGACCAAUAAUCUUCUAAUUUGAGGGUACCAGGUAAAGAAGCACCGGCUAACUCCGUGCCAGCAGCUGCGGUAAUACGGAGGGUGCAAGCAUUAAUCGGAUUUAUUGGGCGUAAAGGGCGCGUAGGCGGUUUAGAAAGUCAGUUGUGAAAUUCUGAGGCUCAACUUCAGAGCUGUAACUGAAACUUCUAGACUUGAGGAUAGGCGGAGAAAAUGGAAUUCCACGUGUAGCGGUGAAAUGCGUAGAUAUGUGGAAGAACACCGGUGGCGAAGGCGGUUUUCUAGCUUAUUCCUGACGCUAAGGCGCGAAAGCGUGGGUAGCGAACAGGAUUAGAUACCCUGGUAGUCCUUGCCGUAAACGAUGCAUACUAGAUGUAGUUGGACUCAACCCCGACUGUGUCGAAGCUAACGCGAUAAGUAUGCCGCCUGGGAAGUACACUCGCAAGGGUGAAACUCAAAUGAAUUGACGG